GUCUCCGUACUUAUACUGUGCUGUGCUGCCUCUGGAUCCCUUAUGCAAAUGGCUGUGAGAUUACUGGCUGUUAAUGGAAUCCUGUAAUGCAGCAACACUGAAGAUCAGAAUCUCAUUACGGCGAGACACUAUGUGGGUCCUACGCUGCAAAGAACUCAACCCCUAAAUUAAGAAGGGGAAGACUAAAUGGAACAGCAGUACAGGACAGUGCAUCUCAGACACCCCUGAG
RNAcentral lists this long non-coding RNA (229 nucleotides) under Apteryx rowi (Okarito brown kiwi). RNAcentral's name for it is "lncRNA (ENSARWG00000014574.1)". The record is from RNAcentral. Lineage: Eukaryota; Metazoa; Chordata; Aves; Apterygiformes; Apterygidae.